Molecule: ribosomal RNA, 429 nt
Filed under: uncultured bacterium
Lineage: Bacteria
Description: bacterial SSU rRNA
Rfam family: Bacterial small subunit ribosomal RNA
Source: RNAcentral
UGGGGAAUAUUGCACAAUGGGCGCAAGCCUGAUGCAGCAACGCCGCGUGAGGGACGACGGCCUUCGGGUUGUAAACCUCUUUUGGCAGGGAAGAAGCGAAAGUGACGGUACCUGCAGAAAAAGCACCGGCUAACUACGUGCCAGCAGCCGCGGUAAUACGUAGGGUGCAAGCGUUGUCCGGAAUUAUUGGGCGUAAAGAGCUCGUAGGCGGUUUGUCGCGUCUGCUGUGAAAACGCGAGGCUCAACCUCGCGCCUGCAGUGGGUACGGGCAGACUAGAGUGUGGUAGGGGAGAUUGGAAUUCCUGGUGUAGCGGUGGAAUGCGCAGAUAUCAGGAGGAACACCGAUGGCGAAGGCAGAUCUCUGGGCCAUUACUGACGCUGAGGAGCGAAAGCGUGGGGAGCGAACAGGAUUAGAUACCCCCGUAGUCC